AAUAAAUACAGUUUUUACACUAUUCACGUUCAACGUUUGACCGUUUGUCUUAUUUGAUUUAUGAUUAGUAUUUUUAUUGCUAUUAGAUGAUAAAACAUGAAUAGUACUUUAUGUGUGACUAAAUAUUUUUAAUUUUUUCACAAAAUUUUCAAAUAAGAUGGACGGUCAAACGUUGGGCACGGAUAUCCACGGUUGCACUUAUU
Oryza glumipatula is the source of this 203-nucleotide non-coding RNA. The record is from Rfam. Lineage: Eukaryota; Viridiplantae; Streptophyta; Magnoliopsida; Poales; Poaceae.